AACAAGGUCAUUACUUCCCCAGAAAAAACAAGGCUGAGGGCAGGCUAUGCUCUCACUCUGUUGAUCCAGGGCAGCCUGGAUUAACGCUCCUGGGAUGUUUAAAAGGGAAGAAGAAAAGGCAGAGGACAGCCUGCAAAAUGUGUUUCUGUGCAUGCUUCCCCUAUGUCAUCAGUUUUUCUUAAGAGACAUUAAUUACAAAGAAGUCCCUUUCAAUAGGUUCUGUCACCUCCCAGACUAUUCUGUGAAGUUAAUAAAAUUAAACUGGUUCCCAGCAAAAUGAACUAAAGGCUCUCGCAGCCUUUGUCAGCAGGUCCACAUUUGAUGUUCAAAACAUCUGUCAAGGAGCAGCGGGAGAGUCUCCUGUUUCUUCAGCAACCCAAGAGCUG
RNAcentral lists this long non-coding RNA (386 nucleotides) under Bos taurus (domestic cattle). RNAcentral's name for it is "long non-coding RNA NONBTAT024300". The record is from RNAcentral. Lineage: Eukaryota; Metazoa; Chordata; Mammalia; Artiodactyla; Bovidae.